GUCGCUUUGGUGGAAUAGUUAAUGCAGUGGCCUGCUAAGCUAUUUCUCUUGGGAGCACAGGUUCAAAUCCUGCAGAUAACA
This is a non-coding RNA of Gigaspora rosea, 81 nucleotides long. The record is from the annotation of a GenBank genome assembly. Lineage: Eukaryota; Fungi; Glomeromycota; Glomeromycetes; Diversisporales; Gigasporaceae.